CGACCAGACUCCUACGGGAGGCAGCAGUGGGGAAUAUUGGGCAAUGGGCGCAAGCCUGACCCAGCAACGCCGCGUGAAGGAAGAAGGCUUUCGGGUUGGAAACUUCUUUUCUCAGGGACGAAGAAAGUGACGGUACCUGAGGAAUAAGCCACGGCUAACUACGUGCCAGCAGCCGCGGUAAUACGUAGGUGGCAAGCGUUAUCCGGAUUUACUGGGUGUAAAGGGCGUGUAGGCGGGACUGCAAGUCAGAUGUGAAAACCAUGGGCUCAACCUGUGGCCUGCAUUUGAAACUGUAGUUCUUGAGUACUGGAGAGGCAGACGGAAUUCGUAGGGAAGCGGUGAAAUGCGUA
Molecule: ribosomal RNA, 350 nt
Filed under: uncultured bacterium
Lineage: Bacteria
Description: bacterial SSU rRNA
Rfam family: Bacterial small subunit ribosomal RNA
Source: RNAcentral